UAAAAAUAAAAAAAGAACAAUACAGAGAAGAUUAGCAUGGACCGUGCGCAAGGAUGACAUGCACAUUUGUAAAGUGUUCCAUAUUUUU
Molecule: small nuclear RNA, 88 nt
Organism: Callithrix jacchus (white-tufted-ear marmoset)
Lineage: Eukaryota; Metazoa; Chordata; Mammalia; Primates; Cebidae
Source: Ensembl